GGAAGGAUCAUUAUUGAAAUAAACCUGAUGGGUUGUUGCUGGUUCUCUAGGGAGCAUGUGCACACCUUGUCAUUUUUAUAUCUCCACCUGUGCACCUUUUGUAGACCUUUCAGGUCUAUGUUGCUUCAUUUACCCCAAUGCAUGUUAAUAGAAUGUUGUGCCUAUAUAAUAUAUACAACUUUCAGCAACGGAUCUCUUGGCUCUCGCAUCGAUGAAGAACGCAGCGAAAUGCGAUAAGUAAUGUGAAUUGCAGAAUUCAGUGAAUCAUCGAAUCUUUGAACGCACCUUGCGCUCCUUGGUAUUCCGAGGAGCAUGCCUGUUUGAGUGUCAUUAAUAUAUAUAUCAACCUUCUCUUGUCGAAAGGUUUGGAUGUGGGGGUUUGCUGGCCUCUUCUUGAAGGGUUCAGCUCCUCUGAAAUGCAUUAGCAGAACAACCCAAUGUUCAUUGGUGUGAUAACUAUCUACGCUAUUGAAUGUGAGGGGCAGUUCAGCUUUCUAGCAGUCCUCGGACAACUCAUCAUUAAUGUGACCUCAAAUCAGGUAGGACUACCCGCUGAACUUAAGCAUAUCAAUAAGCGGAGGAAAAGAAACUAACAAGGAUUCCCCUAGUAACUGCGAGUGAAGCGGGAAAAGCUCAAAUUUAAAAUCUGGCAGUCUUUUGGCUGUCCGAGUUGUAAUCUAGAGAAGUGUUAUCCGCGCUGGACCGUGUAAAAGUCUCCUGGAAUGGAGCAUCAUAGAGGGUGAGAAUCCCGUCUUUGACAUGGACUGCCAGGGCUUUGUGAUGCGCUCUCAAAGAGUCGAGUUGUUUGGGAAUGCAGCUCAAAAUGGGUGGUAAAUUCCAUCUAAAGCUAAAUAUUGGCGAGAGACCGAUAGCGAACAAGU
Molecule: ribosomal RNA, 881 nt
Filed under: uncultured fungus
Lineage: Eukaryota; Fungi
Description: eukaryotic LSU rRNA
Rfam family: Eukaryotic large subunit ribosomal RNA (bases 526-881)
Source: RNAcentral